CUCCGGUUUGAUCCCGCCGGACCCGACUGCUAUCAGAGUGGGACUAAGCCAUGCGAGUCAACAUAGCAAUAUGUGGCAUACGGCUCAGUAACACGUAGUCAACAUGCCCAGGGGACGUGGAUAACCUCGGGAAACUGAGGAUAAACCGCGAUAGGUCAUCACUUCUGGAAUGGGUAAUGACUUAAAUCUAUAUGGCCCCUGGAUUGGACUGCGGCCGAUCAGGCUGUUGGUGAGGUAAUGGCCCACCAAACCUGUAACCGGUACGGGCUCUGAGAGGAGGAGCCCGGAGAUGGGCACUGAGACAAGGGCCCAGGCCCUAUGGGGCGCAGCAGGCGCGAAACCUCUGCAAUAGGCGAAAGCUUGACAGGGUUACUCUGAGUGAUUUCCGUUAAGGAGAUCUUUUGGCACCUCUAAAAAUGGUGCAGAAUAAGGGGUGGGCAAGUCUGGUGUCAGCCGCCGCGGUAAUACCAGCACCCCGAGUGGUCGGGACGUUUAUUGGGCCUAAAGCAUCCGUAGCCGGUUCUACAAGUCUUCCGUUAAAUCCACCUGCUUAACAGAUGGGCUGCGGAAGAUACUAUAGAGCUAGGAGGCGGGAGAGGCAAGCGGUACUCGAUGGGUAGGGGUAAAAUCCGUUGAUCCAUUGAAGACCACCAGUGGCGAAGGCGGCUUGCCAGAACGCGCUCGACGGUGAGGGAUGAAAGCUGGGGGAGCAAACCGGAUUAGAUACCCGGGUAGUCCCAGCUGUAAACGAUGCAGACUCGGUGAUGAGUUGGCUUAUUGCUAACUCAGUGCCGCAGGGAAGCCGUUAAGUUUGCCGCCUGGGGAGUACGGUCGCAAGACUGAAACUUAAAGGAAUUGGCGGGGGAGCA
RNAcentral lists this ribosomal RNA (869 nucleotides) under uncultured archaeon. RNAcentral's name for it is "bacterial SSU rRNA". It matches the Rfam family "Archaeal small subunit ribosomal RNA", at positions 1 to 878 of the family's 1478-position model. The record is from RNAcentral.